UGGUAGUCUCCGUUGGUGACCAGCGGAGGGAUCAUUACAGAGUUACUACUCCAAACCCAUUGUGAACCUUACCUAUGUUCUGUUGCCUCGGCGGCGUGGUCAGCGCCCCUCUGAAAAGAGGACGAUGCCCUCCCGCCGGCAGCACCAAACUCUUGAAUUUUACAGCGGAUUACAGUUCUGAUUUGAAAACAAAAAAACAAGUUAAAACUUUCAACAACGGAUCUCUUGGUUCUGGCAUCGAUGAAGAACGCAGCGAAAUGCGAUAAGUAAUGUGAAUUGCAGAAUUCAGUGAAUCAUCGAAUCUUUGAACGCACAUUGCGCCCGGCAGUAAUCUGCCGGGCAUGCCUGUCCGAGCGUCAUUUCAACCCUCGAACCUCCGUUUCCUCAGGGAAGCUCAGGGUCGGUGUUGGGGCGCUACGGCGAGUCUUCGCGACCCUCCGUAGGCCCUGAAAUACAGUGGCGGUCCCGCCGCGGUUGCCUUCUGCGUAGUAAGUCUCUUUUGCAAGCUCGCAUUGGGUCCCGGCGGAGGCCUGCCGUCAAACCACCUAUAACUCCAGAUGGUUUGACCUCGGAUCAGGUAGGGUUACCCGCUGAACUUAAGCAUAUAAAAA
This 611-nucleotide ribosomal RNA is filed under the name Pseudallescheria ellipsoidea. RNAcentral's name for it is "eukaryotic LSU rRNA". The stretch from base 206 to 359 matches the Rfam family "5.8S ribosomal RNA". The record is from RNAcentral. Lineage: Eukaryota; Fungi; Ascomycota; Sordariomycetes; Microascales; Microascaceae.